CUUUCUUAUCACACAGACCAGCAAAGGACUCCUACAGCUCCAGGACCCAGCUGAAGGUAAGCUGUUGCUUUGUGCAGCCACAAGUUAGUCUCUAUCCCCUGUAAAGUCUCCGUCCCAACCAGGUCAUCAAAAUUGAAAAUUCCGAGCGAGCCCUUAGACGUGGGACCUGCUCUGGGUUCUGAUCACGCCAGCUACCACCAUUCAGAGCUCUGGAAAAUUAUCUGCCCGGAGCCCGUCCAGCUCUGCUUUCUCACUCCACAAACGAAAACCAUUUUAACUGCCCCAAUGCGGCCCCAAAAGCCGUACAGACCACAGGCGAUAUGCAACAGGUGACCUUAGCAGUGGGCUGCGUUUCUAUUUUAAUUACAGUGAACAUAACUACCAUAUCCAACUCAUGAUUUCAUGGCUACCAACGUUUCUUCCCAAAAUAAAUGUGUUUAAGUAUAAAAAAAAUAAAUAUCCACCGUGGCUGGGUCAGUAUAUGGCAUUAAUCUUGAAGGCCCGCGGCCCUGGACUGAGACACCAUCCCAGGGCGUCCCGUUUGGGGCUCUGGGGCUGGUGGGGUGGACUGGUGCGUGCCAUGUCGCUUUCACAAGCGGAUGUACUUUUGCAGAAGCAUAAAACACACAGGACUUAAAAAAAAAAAUAUCCCAGGCUUAGGCUCCAGUGACAGCCUCGCCACUGGCGCCUUGUGACCUCAGGCAUGCCAAUUAACCCCCGCAGCCUUGGUUUCCAGACCUGUAAAAUGGGGAUCAGGGGGCUAUCCCGCGGAUUAAAAGCAGCAAGGCUCCUGAAAGCCCAGGAAACUGUGAACCGCUCCCCAAGGCUCCGUGGCCUGCUUCUCAGUUACGGCCACGCCGCCGGGCCUGUAACCCUGUCCUGGAGUCCCCUCCCCCACCCUCGGGGAUUGGCCGGGGAGCCCGGGCUCUCCAGUGCGCGCAGGCAGGGACGCUGGCUCACACAGGACGCGCGUGCAAAGGGCUGAUUCAGCACUCCCCGGCAGCCUUCCGGCCCGGCCUUUUAAACAUCGGCGAAGAGAAAGUUGUGCAACAGGAACGCACAUCCAGCCCGGCGCGGCUGUUGGGGCUUUUCUUUGCAUCCCCGAGGCGCCCGUGGCAGGGAAACGUCCUUCCGAACGCAUCCUCCACCCCCGGGGCCCGGGACUCACCUGCGGCUCCCCAACUUUGUGACCGACUCCGGGACCCCACGCCGCGCCGAGCGGCCGAAAGUUGGCGGCGCCGCGCUCCCGGC
RNAcentral lists this long non-coding RNA (1251 nucleotides) under Chinchilla lanigera (long-tailed chinchilla). RNAcentral describes it as "lncRNA (ENSCLAG00000026404.1)". Lineage: Eukaryota; Metazoa; Chordata; Mammalia; Rodentia; Chinchillidae. The record is from RNAcentral.